CGCAGCGAAAGGUGCUUGCACCUUUCAAGCGAGUGGCGAACGGGUGAGUAACACGUGGAUAACCUGCCUCAAGGCUGGGGAUAACAUUUGGAAACAGAUGCUAAUACCGAAUAAAACUUAGUAUCGCAUGAUACAAAGUUAAAAGGCGCUACGGCGUCACCUAGAGAUGGAUCCGCGGUGCAUUAGUUAGUUGGUGGGGUAAAGGCUUACCAAGACGAUGAUGCAUAGCCGAGUUGAGAGACUGAUCGGCCACAUUGGGACUGAGACACGGCCCAAACUCCUACGGGAGGCUGCAGUAGGGAAUCUUCCACAAUGGGCGCAAGCCUGAUGGAGCAACGCCGCGUGUGUGAUGAAGGCUUUCGGGUCGUAAAGCACUGUUGUAUGGGAAGAAAUGCUAAAAUAGGGAAUGAUUUUAGUUUGACGGUACCAUACCAGAAAGGGACGGCUAAAUACGUGCCAGCAGCCGCGGUAAUACGUAUGUCCCGAGCGUUAUCCGGAUUUAUUGGGCGUAAAGCGAGCGCAGACGGUUGAUUAAGUCUGAUGUGAAAGCCCGGAGCUCAACUCCGGAAUGGCAUUGGAAACUGGUUAACUUGAGUGUUGUAGAGGUAAGUGGAACUCCCAUGUGUAGCGGUGGAAUGCGUAGAUAUAUGGAAGAACACCAGUGGCGAAGGCGGCUUACUGGACAACAACUGACGUUGAGGCUCGAAAGUGUGGGUAGCAAACAGGAUUAGAUACCCUGGUAGUCCACACCGUAAACGAUGAAUACUAGGUGUUAGGAGGUUUCCGCCUCUUAGUGCCGAAGCUAACGCAUUAAGUAUUCCGCCUGGGGAGUACGACCGCAAGGUUGAAACUCAAAGGAAUUGACGGGGACCCGCACAAGCGGUGGAGCAUGUGGUUUAAUUCGAAGCAACGCGAAGAACCUUACCAGGUCUUGACAUCCUUUGAAGCUUUUAGAGAUAGAAGUGUUCUCUUCGGAGACAAAGUGACAGGAGGUGCAUGGUCGUCGUCAGCUCGUGUCGUGAGAUGUUGGGUUAAGUCCCGCAACGAGCGCAACCCUUAUUGUUAGUUGCCAGCAUUCAGUUGGGCACUCUAGCGAGACUGCCGGUGACAAACCGGAGGAAGGCGGGGACGACGUCAGAUCAUCAUGCCCCUUAUGACCUGGGCUACACACGUGCUACAAUGGCGUAUACAACGAGUUGCCAACCUGCGAAGGUGAGCUAAUCUCUUAAAGUACGUCUCAGUUCGGACUGCAGUCCGCAACUCGACUGCACGAAGUCGGAAUCGCUAGUAAUCGCGGAUCAGCACGCCGCGGUGAAUACGUUCCCGGGUAUUGUACACACCGCCC
RNAcentral lists this ribosomal RNA (1345 nucleotides) under uncultured bacterium. RNAcentral's name for it is "bacterial SSU rRNA". It matches the Rfam family "Bacterial small subunit ribosomal RNA", at positions 65 to 1395 of the family's 1533-position model. The record is from RNAcentral.